Molecule: long non-coding RNA, 94 nt
Organism: Etheostoma cragini (Arkansas darter)
Lineage: Eukaryota; Metazoa; Chordata; Actinopteri; Perciformes; Percidae
Exons: 4
Source: RefSeq, a predicted model, not a curated record
CAAAAUGUAUACACCUGACUAGGACUGUGCAAGUAAUCGAAAGUUAAUCGUGAUUAUGAUUUUGGCUCCCAAUGAUCACAAAAAAAGACUAAUC